Molecule: long non-coding RNA, 2972 nt
Filed under: Homo sapiens (human)
Lineage: Eukaryota; Metazoa; Chordata; Mammalia; Primates; Hominidae
Description: HSALNT0072546
Source: RNAcentral
UGAGGUCUCACUAUGUUGCUCAGGCUAGUGUUGAACUCCUGGGCUCAUGCAGUCUUCCCGCCAUGGCCUACCAAAGUGCUGGGAUUACAAGCAUGGGCCACCGUGCCUGGCCCCCUGGCUUUUAGAAGCUACAUCCUAUCAUGGAGGACAGACAAGAUACAACUACUUACAGUUCUCUGUUAAGAGCAGGAGAACCUGAGGCAGCAGAGAGGUGACAGGAAGGAGGAAGUGACCAUGAACUCCUGAACAGUAUGCUUACUUCAUAUCCUCACCCCUCAGCACAAUGUCUGGCAUGUAAAAAGUUCCAUGCAUGUUAAUGGAGGGAGGGAAGAGGAAAGGAAUCAACAAAAUGCCCCUACCCCAUCCCCAUCUCUCUGCUAUUUCUUGUCAAACUAGUUACUCUAAAGUUGGUGUUUUCAAGCUCCUGGAAGAGAUAUCUUAGAGCAUAGAGUUGAUGAUUCAGUCCUCCCUAGCAUAUAGUACAGUAUACAACAAUCACAUUUGAUGGAGACAAGUCAUCGUUUGUCCUGUGUUUAACUGUGGUCCCAUGGCACCUGUUCAUAAACACUACACUCCCAGGAAGUCUACAGGAAAGAGACUUGCAGACAGGUUGCAUUUGCUGAACCACUAGCACUACACCAACCUAAUUCUUAAGUUCUGUAUUAUUAGACCAAGAGCUCUUCUACCAUCACAAAAGGAUUUAGCUAGAAUUUUGCUUCCCUCAGAACCUCAUUUGCCAUCCAGUUUCCCAUUUCUCUGCCAGCUUCAUCUGUGCAACUCAUCUUGGGUUACGUCUGGCAGAUGGAGAGAGGAAUCUCAUUUCAAGUCGCUGCUGUCUGCAUCCCAGAGCCCUCCCGGAGCAGCCUCUAUUUCACCAAGGACAGAAGAAAGGAGGGAUGGGUGUGAUCAGCCUCCCCAAGAGAUGACAGUGACUUGAGUAGUGAUUCCUCCCCAGAGGGGUGAGACGUCGUCACAACACUAUAAAGUAAUAACUGCCAUCACAUAACAUACAACAUGCAACCACUCUGGCAUGGGACAGCUGGGAAAUGCUCCACAGGGAAAAUGAUUUGAAGUUGGAGAUGAAGAAAGAGUCCAAUUCUUGCCACAUGGGAAAGUGAAAAAGGAGAAAAGAGCAUUCAAAGGCUCAGGGGAGAAAGCGUGCAGGCUUGUAUUUCUCUGGAGUUCACAGGACAAUGCUGAAAAUGUUGUGCUCUAAGAUCUGUGCUGAAAUAGUUCUCUACCUUUCAUCAAUAUGCAAAUUCAGAAUUCAGCCAGGAUCCUUAAAGAGCUGAUUGAUGGCUGCGUCAGCUCUGUGACAUCACCCUGACAGAUGUGGUCGUUUGCUGUCACCUUGUGACACACAUUCUCCUCUCUGUGUUGACAUAUCAUCGCCCACAUGACAGCCAGCCAUAAAGGUAAGGCAUUAUUUUGCCCUAAAACAAAUAUCAGGCUGGCGGUCUUAUGCUGAGAUUUAUCACCGUCUACAAAAUACUCAUAAAGUGACUGCCAAUUGAGGUGCAAUAAUUACAACUCCUCAGAAAUAUGCUAUUUUGAGAUUAAGGGCAGAGCACAAACAAGGUCUACCUUGAUGGAAGAAGGCAAGAACUUGCUGGAUGAUCUUUGUUCUUUCCUUUAGAGGAAUUAUUUUUAAAAAAAAAUACCAUAAAUUUAUUUACAGCAUUUUCUGUAAGGGUCAAGAGAUUUUCAGGCAAAAGCGCUAUUUCAGCAAACUGAACAUAAACCAGCCUUUCAUUUUCAGAAAGCCACCCCUGCAUGAUCUGAACAUUGUAAAGAACAUAUAUACAUCAGAACCACAGGCACAACAUAGAGAUACAGAACAUUUGGUAUUUCUACUUGAUCUGUGGAAAAGGGAUUCUUCCCACUGGUGUCAGCAACCAAAUCUGGAGGCCUCAGUAUGAGUAGUUGUUUUAGGAUUGCAAGAAUGCAUCCAUGCAUAUGUAUUUAUUUAUAAUUUGCCUCAUUCUUCAUGGAUUUGACAUAGCUUUCAGCAGGUACAUAUGUAACCAAAUAACAGCAAAACAUUGGUAGAAAUUAAAAAAUCCAGGCAGGGAAAAUAUUUUAAAUGAGAGUAGAAAUUCAAGACUACUAAAAUGAAAGACACAUACAUGUAUGCCAUCACUGAACUUCAAGUUUGACUCUGGGGCCCCAGGCACUCAAAAUGAAAAGAGAGACCCAGUUAGUCCCAUCCUUCUCAUCAGCAAAAAGGGAGAGGCAUACAGUGCCUCAGGAAGGCAAAGUUAUCCUGGCCCUGAAUUUUAAAAGGAAGUUCUCAAACAGAGCAUUCUUCGAACAACACUGAAAUGGGACUCCCCUGAAAACUUCUGUAAUAAAUGCAGUAACGACUCCAUAUGGUUUUCUUUCAUAGUAUCAUCCUUGACUUAAAAAAAAUAGCAUAGUGUAAGACGUAAAAGACCGACUCCAUGAAGGUGAUUCUUUAGGCAACCCACUGAGAUCAUUUUGCUCAGCGAUGGUAUUUGCUAGCUAACUGACAAGAAAUUCAAAAAAUAGUGGAUGGAUGACAUUUCCUCCAGUCAAUCUUCCAGAGUGUAGACCCUCAUCCAUUCAUUCACUCAUUUGUUCCUUCAUUUCUUGAUCUUCUACUAGAUAUUAGGAAUCAAGUUAGGUGCUAUGGAUCCAAAAUCAUACGAAGACAUAAUCCCAAUUCUUAACAACCUCAUCGUUUAGUAAACUUUGAUUUUCUUUUUAGUUUUAAAUUUUUUGUAGAGAUGGGAUUUUGCUAUGUUGCUCAGGCUGGUCUAGAACUCCUGGCCUCAAGUGAUCCUCUCACCUUGGCCUCCCAAAGUGCUGGGAUUACAGGCCCUUUGAUUUUCAAAGAUACUUUUUCCAUCAGGAAUCUUAUCUCCAUAAAUUUUUACUGCAACCCUUCAUGGCAACUUGAAAAGGAUGAUACAAUAUUUACCAUACUUUAAUAAAAGCAUUCAUUAUAUAAU